Molecule: ribosomal RNA, 230 nt
Filed under: uncultured bacterium
Lineage: Bacteria
Description: partial 16S ribosomal RNA
Rfam family: Bacterial small subunit ribosomal RNA
Source: RNAcentral
AAAGCGUGCGCAGGCGGUUGUGCAAGACAGAUGUGAAAUCCCCGGGCUCAACCUGGGAAUUGCAUUUGUGACUGCACAGCUAGAGUGUGUCAGAGGGGGGUAGAAUUCCACGUGUAGCAGUGAAAUGCGUAGAUAUGUGGAGGAAUACCGAUGGCGAAGGCAGCCCCCUGGGAUAACACUGACGCUCAUGCACGAAAGCGUGGGGAGCAAACAGGAUUAGAUACCCCGGU